ACGGGAGGCAGCAGUGGGGGAUAUUGCACAAUGGGGGAAACCCUGAUGCAGCGACGCCGCGUGAGUGAUGAAGUAUUUCGGUAUGUAAAGCUCUAUCAGCAGGAAAGAUAAUGACGGUAUCUGACUAAGAAGCACCGGCUAAAUACGUGCCAGCAGCCGCGGUAAUACGUAUGGUGCAAGCGUUAUCCGGAUUUACUGGGUGUAAAGGGAGCGUAGACGGCAUGGCAAGUCUGAUGUGAAAGCCCGGGGCUCAACCCCGGGACUGCAUUGGAAACUGUCAAGCUAGAGUGCAGGAGAGGUAAGUGGAAUUCCUAGUGUAGCGGUGAAAUGCGUAGAUAUUAGGAGGAACACCAGUGGCGAAGGCGGCUUGCUGGACUGUAACUGACGUUGAGGCUCGAAAGCGUGGGGAGCAAACAGGAUUAGAUACCCUGGUA
Molecule: ribosomal RNA, 434 nt
Filed under: uncultured Clostridium sp.
Lineage: Bacteria; Bacillati; Bacillota; Clostridia; Eubacteriales; Clostridiaceae
Description: partial 16S ribosomal RNA
Rfam family: Bacterial small subunit ribosomal RNA
Source: RNAcentral